Molecule: long non-coding RNA, 200 nt
Filed under: Populus tremula
Lineage: Eukaryota; Viridiplantae; Streptophyta; Magnoliopsida; Malpighiales; Salicaceae
Description: long non-coding RNA (PTRE_LNC003448)
Source: RNAcentral
CGCCAUGCUUAAAGCCUUUAUUUGGUGUUAGACCAAUCUAUAAUACCUUCAGGUCCCAUAAUUAAAGUAGUGUCAGUAGCCAUAAAGAACUUAUCUGCAGACUUGAGCCAAUUUGAGAGGCGAUAAAGAAUUAAGGAGAAAAUAUCUUCGAAGGUCGCAGUUCCAUCAUUGAAGAUUACCUUGUUCCUCAUAAGCCAUAU